This is an RNA transcript of Pistacia vera, 2636 nucleotides long. It is a transcript of the gene named conserved oligomeric Golgi complex subunit 2, with no coding region annotated. Lineage: Eukaryota; Viridiplantae; Streptophyta; Magnoliopsida; Sapindales; Anacardiaceae. The transcript has 12 exons. The record is from RefSeq and is a predicted model, not a curated record.
ACGACGACGUGGGAAGCUUUCGUUCUUUCUUAGCAUUGCAGUUACGGACACUCUAAAAUCUUCAUUCCAAGGCAAAUACGAAGUCUUGAUUAAUUAGGAGAAAACUUUUGUGAUCAAAGAAACAUAACCACAAUCAGAAAUGAUGGAUCCGAUCCCAACAGCUCCACCGCCAACACCGCCUAGAUCCGCCGCCGACUUCUUCUCCGAUCCAGUUGACACUCAUCCUCUUUGGUUUAAAUCCAAUCUCUUUCUCUCCCCAACCUUCGACUCCGAAUUCUAUAUCUCGGAGCUCCGAACUUUCGUUCCCUUCGAGACACUCCGAUCUGAGCUACAGGCUCAUUUAUCUUCCCUCAAGCAUGAACUUAUUGAUUUAAUUAACCGGGACUAUGCUGAUUUCGUUAACUUGAGCACCAAGCUCGUCGAUGUUGACGCGGCCGUCGUACGGAUGCGGGCCCCAUUGUUGGAGCUGAGAGAGAAAAUCGAAGGUUUCAGAGGCACUGUUGAAGGUUCCCUCGUGGCGUUGCAGAGGGGUUUAAAGCAAAGAUCGGAGGCUGCUGCGGCUAGGGAGGCUCUUGAACUGUUGCUUGACACGUUUCAUGUUGUUUCUAAGGUUGAAAAACUUAUAAAGGAGCUACCUAGUGCAUCUGCUGAUUGGUCAAAUGGAGAUGUGAAUUUGUCCGAAAGAAAUUCUAUGGGCCAUGCCACUGCUCUACAACCUGUUGAGAAUGGAAUGAAUCCUAGGGAGACUCAAAGCAUGCUUUUGGAGAGAAUUGCCAGUGAGAUGAAUCGGUUAAAGUUCUAUAUGGCUCAUGCGCAGAACCUGCCUUUCAUUGAGAACAUGGAGAAGAGGAUUCAGAGUGCUAGCCUAUUAUUGGAUGCAAGCUUGGGCCAUUGUUUUGUAGAUGGGCUUGAACACCGGGAUGAAAAUGUAAUUUACAAUUGUUUACGUGCAUAUGCCGCCAUUGAUAACACCAGGAAUGCAGAUGAAAUUUUCCGCAAUACUGUUGUGGCUCCAUUGAUACAGAAAAUAAUGCUACAUGGGCCAUCAGAGGCAGUUGCUGAGUCAUCUGGAGAUGAACUUGAGAAUGAUUAUAAGCAAAUCAAACAAUGUAUUGAGAAAGACUGUAAAUUCUUAUUGGAAAUUUCUUCUGCAGAGAACUCAGGUUUGCAUGUAUUUGACUUCUUGGCAAAUUCAGUCCUGAAGGAGGUUCUGUCAGCAAUUCAGAAGGGAAAACCAGGGGCUUUUUCUCCAGGAAGUCCCACUGAAUUCUUGAAAAAUUACAAAUCAAGCCUUGAUUUCUUGGUUCAUCUUGAAGGCUAUUGUCCAUCCAGAUCUGCUGUUGCUAAAUUCAGAGCAGAAGCCGUGUAUGUUGAGUUCAUGAAGCAAUGGAAUGUUGGGGUUUAUUUUUCUUUGAGGUUUCAGGAAAUUGCUGGGGCUUUAGAUUCUGUUCUUACAGGAGCAAGUCUUACUCCUGUUCAGAAUUCACAUUCUGAUCAAGGAAAGUCUUGUGUGUUAACAUUAAAACAAAGUGUUACACUUUUAGAGAGCUUGAGAUCCUGCUGGAGAGAAGAUGUUUUUCUCCUUUCUUGCUCCGACAAAUUUCUUCGUCUGUCAUUGCAGCUUCUUUCAAGAUACUCAAAUUGGUUGUCAUCUGGACUGGCUGCUCGGAAGUCUCGUAGUGCAGGCUCCAAUCCUGGAUGUGAAUGGGCUAUUUCAGCUGCUCCGGAUGAUUUUAUUUAUGUUAUUCAUGACAUAACUUGUCUGGCCACAGAGGUCUCUGUUGACUACCUGGUUCAUGUACUUCGGCUUCUGUCUUCAUGCUCCACUGAAAUUCUUGUUCUAGUAAAACAGAGCAUUUUAGAUGGUGGAAAAUCAUUGAGUUCUACAUUACCUUUAGUUAUCAACACGAUAAUAGAGGGACUUGUUGAGAAGGCUGUGGAAGACUUAAGACAGCUUAAGGGGAUAACUGCAACUUACAGGAUGACUAAUAAACCACUUCCUGUCAGGCAUUCCCCUUAUGUGUCUGGUGUAUUGCGCCCCUUGAAGACUUUAUUAGAUGCAGAGUGAGCCAUGACAUAUUUGUCAAAGGAGACUAAGAAGGAAUUACUGCUUGGUGCUUCAACUAAGAUAACUGGUUGCUAUCAUGAAUUGGCUGCUGAGCUCAUCAGUGUGGCUAGGAAAACGGAGUCUUCACUCCUGAAGAUACGGCAAGGUGCACAAAGGCGAGCUGGAGCAAGCUCAGAUGUCUCAGACCAUAAUGUAUCCGACACUGACAAGAUUUGCAUGCAAUUGUUUCUUGAUAUUCAGGAAUACGGAUGCAAUCUUGCUGCCCUUGGGGUUUUGAAGCAGCAGAUAUUCCAGCGUACUGUUCCUUGUGGCAAUGUGUUGCUCCUUCAGAUCGGCAAAGCGUGAUUAAUUUCUAAGAGUUUUGGGUUGCAAGUCUCAACUGCUUGUAGAUUUAGUUUUAUUGGAUUGUGAAGUAUAUUGUUGUAAGUUGAUCUCAUUGUGAAAUGUGAAGUUUUUUUGUUUGUUUUUUUUUUAUCCUAGUAAUUAGGUAUUCUCGGACAAUCAUGGCGAAUUACUAUUUGUACUAGUUUACACUUCAUUUGAAUCCACUCAGUAUUUCUUUUUGUCA